Molecule: non-coding RNA, 173 nt
Filed under: Butyrivibrio proteoclasticus
Lineage: Bacteria; Bacillati; Bacillota; Clostridia; Lachnospirales; Lachnospiraceae
Description: Lysine sequence
Rfam family: Lysine riboswitch aptamer
About the family: Riboswitches are metabolite binding domains within certain messenger RNAs that serve as precision sensors for their corresponding targets. Allosteric rearrangement of mRNA structure is mediated by ligand binding, and this results in modulation of gene expression.
Source: RNAcentral
GGUUUAGAUAGAGGUUGCGUAUUUAAUGAGUAUUUCUGUGGAUGUGACAGGCACAGAUGAAUCAGAAAAAAAGGUAAAUACGCCGAAAGGUUCAAUUACCUGAAGAUUGGAUACUUGGGCAUGCAGCAAACAGCUGUAUGACUGUCAUCGAAAGAUGGGGCGCUAUCAACAAU